UGAAGUAUGAAGACAUGGCAUGAACUGAAAAUAUGAUUGAUUGGACGGAUUAGGCUGAUCAGUCCCAAAUGCAUGGGAUGAUCAUUGGAGCUGGCUACUUCUCUCAGAUAAGUCCUCUCUUUCUCAUUCUUCUUCACAUAAUCAUCUGUGUUCCAAAUUUUCAUUUGUUCCUUUUGUUAAAAAUCAUUUCAUUUUACUCCUUGAGUCUAUCUUUAUGAGUUUCUUCCUAGUUAGCCCUUGUUAAACAAGCAGGAAAGGAUUUCAAAGCCUACUACCAACUUCUAAAUUGCACAAAGCGAUUCUGGCCAGGCACAUCAAAAUUGACAUGGUUCAGAAUAAACAGAUUUCAAAGCCUACUAUCAGCUUCUAAAUUGCACAAAGCGAUUCUGGCCAAGCACAUCAAAAUUGACAUGAUUCGGAAUAAGCAAUAUGGUGAUAACUGAGGUUCAGGCAAUCGGGUGAAUCUUGAAUUCUGAGGAAAUACAAGGAUUCAACAACUUUCUAAAUAAAAUUAAAAAUACAAUGCAACAAGUAAGUAUGAGGGACUCUUGUCAUGCAGAGAUUUCGUGGUCUAGUGUCAGCCAAAAGAUCAAACAAUU
This 599-nucleotide long non-coding RNA is filed under the name Nicotiana benthamiana. RNAcentral describes it as "long non-coding RNA (NBEN_LNC040672)". The record is from RNAcentral. Lineage: Eukaryota; Viridiplantae; Streptophyta; Magnoliopsida; Solanales; Solanaceae.